This 1462-nucleotide long non-coding RNA is filed under the name Felis catus (domestic cat). RNAcentral describes it as "lncRNA (ENSFCAG00000047548.1)". Lineage: Eukaryota; Metazoa; Chordata; Mammalia; Carnivora; Felidae. The record is from RNAcentral.
CACGGGGCUCGAACCCGCGAGCCGUGAGGUCAUGACCUAAGCCAAAGUCAGACGCUUAACUGACUGAGCCACCCAGGCACCCCUCUUUUCUCAUCUUUUAGGAUAGAUAUCCUACAGUGUUGUUACAACUAUAGAGACCAGAGGAAACAUAUAUUAAUUUUAAAGACUGCAGUCAAUUCUUUUUUACUGAGUCUGCUCAGCCACCUCUUACAGAAUGGGCCCUAAAAAAAGAAAAUCCUCCUUGGGAUGGACACAGAAGGACGAUGGAGGCAUUAUGUGUCUUGCGUGUGUAGAGUGGAUGGUUGUGUAAAUGAGCGAACAGAAAUAGGAAGGAGCGCUCUACUGUUCCCACCAGAGGCCACUGCCGGGGCUCCAGGAAGCAGCUAGGAGGGGUGUGGCUCAGGUGUUCCAGAAGACAGGCGGGGCUCGUUCUUGAGUGGCCCCGUCAUCUUUAUUCCAGGAGGUCAAACUCAACUCCAGCCUCUAACCAGGGCAGCAGAGCUGGUCUCAAAUGAUGUGGGAAAACCAUUUGAAACAAUGAAUUGUUAUCUAGCAAUGUUGCCUCCACUCUGCUUCUGCACAUGGCAAACUGUGUAUUCCAGACACAGGCCCAUGCCAGCUCCCACCAAGAGGUGCAGUCCGAGUCCCCCUGCCCUGGGACCCCUCAGGCCUUUGUGACUGUGUCAGCUGAGGGAGCUGUCAAAGCAGUGAGGGGCCACUGAGGGGGCCCUGAGGUCACAAAGCCACACCUGGCUUUCCCUUUCCCAGGACACACGCCAUGGGAGUCCCAAGGCCCUGUGUGACAAGGCUGGCUGCAAAGUGUGGCUUGAGAGACCACGUGGAGAAACAGAUGCCCAACAGGCUCCAGCUCCACCAGUCCCCGCAAGGAGCCUCCCAGCCCCGGUGCCAGGUCACCAGCCCCCACUGAUGUGCACCGAAGAGACACCGUCAGACUUUGCGAGUUCCUCUUAGAAUCCCAAGAGUUAAUUUCCCAUCAUGAGGCUACUGUUCCUUCUCUUUCUCCUCCUUGUGUGUCUUAUCCAGACGACAUCAGGUAAGCUGUGGCUCCUGUUGGUAGGAUGAUAUGACAGAUGGCCUUGAAGAAUAGGACCAAAUUGAUUCAUAAUCCAAUGAUGCAUCGAAGUCUGUAACAACGGAGUAAUUUCACAGCUGAAAGAAGCAUACAUAUACCACACACUCCCUUUUACGAAUAACGAAAAGGGAAAUUUAAGAAAACUUAAAAGAGUUUCCCAAGAUUGCUCUUAACUGGUUGAUAGCAAGCCCAUAACUAGUAAUUGACGAUAGAUAAUAUUUACAGAGACUUUACAGCUUACAAAUUAUUUCCAUGUGAAUAACAACAACACUAAUAGCAGAUAAUAUUGACGCUUCCUCUUUACCAAACAUCACAACAAAAACUUUUCAUGUCCUGUCCCACGUGUACCUCCUAACACUAUUUCUGGGU